GACGAACGCUGGCGGCGUGCCUAAUACAUGCAAGUCGAACGCAGUGGGGACGGGUGAGUAACACGUGGGUAACCUCCCAUCAGAGGGGAUAACACUUGGAAACAGGUGCUAAACCGAUACUGAUGGAUGGACCCGCGGUGCAUUAGCUAGUUGGUGAGGUAACGGCUCACCAAGGUCACGAUGCAUAGCCGACGUGGUAGUGGAAUACUCCCCACUGGGAGUGAGACACGGCCCAGACUCCUCCAUCACCACCACUUAUCUAAUCUUCGGCAAUGUACGAAAGUCUGACCCAGCAACGCCGCGUGAGUGAAGAAUUUUUUCGGAUCUUAAAACUCUGUUGUUAGAGAAGCGGUAUCUAACCAGAAAGCCACGGCUAACUACGUGCCAGCAGCCGCGGUAAUUC
This 403-nucleotide ribosomal RNA is filed under the name uncultured bacterium. Its description in RNAcentral is "partial 16S ribosomal RNA". It matches the Rfam family "Bacterial small subunit ribosomal RNA", at positions 28 to 526 of the family's 1533-position model. The record is from RNAcentral.